Pelobates cultripes (western spadefoot toad) is the source of this 331-nucleotide non-coding RNA. The record is from the annotation of a GenBank genome assembly. NCBI's taxonomy places the organism in Eukaryota, Metazoa, Chordata, Amphibia, Anura, Pelobatidae.
UAUGGAUUGACACCUGUCCUAAGGAUCCCUGAUACACACUGAUACACACCUACUUGGAUGGUAUAGACAUUUUUAGCAGCUCCUGGCCCGAACACCUGACCCACAUAGGAGCCGUAAUAGACCGGAUUAGGGAGUCCGGACUGACCCUAAAGCCCAGUAAGUACCAUAUAGGAACGUGUAAAAACCUCCCCAAGAUAGUAGUAUGGGCCCCAGAAUGUGAACAGGCCUUCCAACAGCUCAAGACGGCGCUCAUUAAAUCACCUGUACUUUCUUCUCCUGAUCCAACUAAACACUUUCUCGUCCAUACAGACGCUUCUAUGCUUGGAUUGGG